Molecule: ribosomal RNA, 401 nt
Filed under: uncultured bacterium
Lineage: Bacteria
Description: bacterial SSU rRNA
Rfam family: Bacterial small subunit ribosomal RNA
Source: RNAcentral
GGGGAAUAUUGGACAAUGGGCGCAAGCCUGAUCCAGCCAUGCCGCGUGAGUGAUGAAGGCCUUAGGGUUGUAAAGCUCUUUCACCCACGACGAUAAUGACGGUAGUGGGAGAAGAAGCCCCGGCUAACUUCGUGCCAGCAGCCGCGGUAAUACGAAGGGGGCUAGCGUUGUUCGGAAUUACUGGGCGUAAAGCGCGUGUAGGCGGGCGAUUAAGUCAGGGGUGAAAUGCCAAGGCUCAACCUUGGAACUGCCUUUGAUACUGGUCGUCUUGAGUCCGGGAGAGGUGAGUGGAACUGUGAGUGUAGAGGUGAAAUUCGUAGAUAUUCGCAAGAACACCAGUGGCGAAGGCGGCUCACUGGCCCGGAACUGACGCUGAGAUGCGAAAGCGUGGGGAGCAAACA